Molecule: ribosomal RNA, 497 nt
Filed under: uncultured bacterium
Lineage: Bacteria
Description: partial 16S ribosomal RNA
Rfam family: Bacterial small subunit ribosomal RNA
Source: RNAcentral
GAUGAACGCUGGCGGCGUGCCUAAUACAUGCAAGUCGAGCGAACGGACGAGAAGCUUGCUUCUCUGAUGUUAGCGGCGGACGGGUGAGUAACACGUGGAUAACCUACCUAUAAGACUGUGAUAACUUCGGGAAACCGUAGCUAAUACCGGAUAAUAUUUUGAACCGCAUGGUUCAAAAGUGAAAGACGGUCUUGCUGUCACUUAUAGAUGGAUCCGCGCUGCAUUAGAUAGUUGGUAAGGUAACGGCUUACCAAGGCAACGAUGCAUAGCCGACCUGAGAGGGUGAUCGGCCACACUGGAACUGAGACACGGUCCAGACUCCUACGGGAGGCAGCAGUAGGGAAUCUUCCGCAAUGGGCGAAAGCCUGACGGAGCAACGCCGCGUGAGUGAUGAAGGUCUUCGGAUCGUAAAACUCUGUUAUUAGGGAAGAACAUAUGUGUAAGUAACUGUGCACAUCUUGACGGUACCUAAUCAGAAAGCCACGGCUAACUACGUG